GUGAAUCAUCGAAUUUUUGAACGCAAAUUGCACUCUCCUCGGAGAGUAUGCCUGUUUGAGGGUCAGCCUAUAAAAAUCGACCUCGUUGCUGUUUCUCGGUGGCGUUCGUCGGCGAUUCGGUCAUCUUAAAUCCUUUUGAUCUAAGCGCCUUAAGCUUAUCUGUUGGUUCCAUGAACAUUUCUAAGAUCUAUUUCUUUACACGUUUAAGGUAUCGAUUUUUAUUAGACGUGGCCGACAUAUCGGCUAGCGU
This 250-nucleotide unclassified non-coding RNA is filed under the name Glomus sp. Its description in RNAcentral is "partial contains 5.8S ribosomal RNA and internal transcribed spacer 2". The stretch from base 1 to 65 matches the Rfam family "5.8S ribosomal RNA", at positions 84 to 154 of the family's 154-position model. Lineage: Eukaryota; Fungi; Glomeromycota; Glomeromycetes; Glomerales; Glomeraceae. The record is from RNAcentral.